This 120-nucleotide ribosomal RNA is filed under the name uncultured bacterium. RNAcentral's name for it is "partial 16S ribosomal RNA". It matches the Rfam family "Bacterial small subunit ribosomal RNA", at positions 215 to 334 of the family's 1533-position model. The record is from RNAcentral.
UCACCGAAGGAUGAGUCCGCGUUGCAUCAGCUUGUUGGUGGGGUAAAGGCCUACCAAGGCAAAGACGCAUAGCUGGUCUGAGAGGAUGAUCAGCCACACUGGGACUGAGAUACGGCCCAG